UACAGAGGUGGCAAGCGUUGUUCGGAAUUACUGGGCGUAAAGGGCGCGUAGGCGGUCUUGCAAGUCCUGUGUGAAAUCCCCCGGCUCAACUGGGGAACUGCACAGGAAACUGCCUGGCUCGAGUUCGGGAGAGGGAAGCGGAAUUCCGGGUGUAGCGGUGAAAUGCGUAGAUAUCCGGAGGAACACCGGUGGCGAAGGCGGCUUCCUGGACCGACACUGACGCUGAGGCGCGAAAGCUAGGGGAGCAAACGGG
This 253-nucleotide ribosomal RNA is filed under the name uncultured bacterium. RNAcentral describes it as "partial 16S ribosomal RNA". It matches the Rfam family "Bacterial small subunit ribosomal RNA", at positions 524 to 776 of the family's 1533-position model. The record is from RNAcentral.